This 688-nucleotide ribosomal RNA is filed under the name Vibrio sp. SC11. Its description in RNAcentral is "partial 16S ribosomal RNA". It matches the Rfam family "Bacterial small subunit ribosomal RNA", at positions 86 to 769 of the family's 1533-position model. Lineage: Bacteria; Pseudomonadati; Pseudomonadota; Gammaproteobacteria; Vibrionales; Vibrionaceae. The record is from RNAcentral.
GGGCGUCGAGCGGCGGACGGGUGAGUAAUGCCUAGGAAAUUGCCUUGAUGUGGGGGAUAACCAUUGGAAACGAUGGCUAAUACCGCAUAAUGCCUACGGGCCAAAGAGGGGGACCUUCGGGCCUCUCGCGUCAAGAUAUGCCUAGGUGGGAUUAGCUAGUUGGUGAGGUAAUGGCUCACCAAGGCGACGAUCCCUAGCUGGUCUGAGAGGAUGAUCAGCCACACUGGAACUGAGACACGGUCCAGACUCCUACGGGAGGCAGCAGUGGGGAAUAUUGCACAAUGGGCGAAAGCCUGAUGCAGCCAUGCCGCGUGUAUGAAGAAGGCCUUCGGGUUGUAAAGUACUUUCAGUUGUGAGGAAGGGGGUNNNNUUAAUANCNNNNNNUCUUGACGUUAGCAACAGAAGAAGCACCGGCUAACUCCGUGCCAGCAGCCGCGGUAAUACGGAGGGUGCGAGCGUUAAUCGGAAUUACUGGGCGUAAAGCGCAUGCAGGUGGUUCAUUAAGUCAGAUGUGAAAGCCCGGGGCUCAACCUCGGAACUGCAUUUGAAACUGGUGAACUAGAGUGCUGUAGAGGGGGGUAGAAUUUCNNGUGUAGCGGUGAAAUGCGUANAGAUCUGAANGGAAUACCAGUGGCGANNNCGGCCCCCNGNNNAGACACUGACACUCAGAUGCGAAAGCGUGGGNNGC